This 1372-nucleotide ribosomal RNA is filed under the name uncultured bacterium. RNAcentral describes it as "bacterial SSU rRNA". It matches the Rfam family "Bacterial small subunit ribosomal RNA", at positions 28 to 1381 of the family's 1533-position model. The record is from RNAcentral.
GAUGAACGCUGACGGCGUGCCUAAUACAUGCAAGUCGAGCGAACGGACGAGAAGCUUGCUUCUCUGAUGUUAGCGGCGGACGGGUGAGUAACACGUGGAUAACCUACCUAUAAGACUGGGAUAACUUCGGGAAACCGGAGCUAAUACCGGAUAAUAUUUUGAACCGCAUGGUUCAAAAGUGAAAGACGGUCUUGCUGUCACUUAUAGAUGGAUCCGCGCUGCAUUAGCUAGUUGGUAAGGUAACGGCUUACCAAGGCAACGAUGCAUAGCCGACCUGAGAGGGUGAUCGGCCACACUGGAACUGAGACACGGUCCAGACUCCUACGGGAGGCAGCAGUAGGGAAUCUUCCGCAAUGGGCGAAAGCCUGACGGAGCAACGCCGCGUGAGUGAUGAAGGUCUUCGGAUCGUAAAACUCUGUUAUUAGGGAAGAACAUAUGUGUAAGUAACUGUGCACAUCUUGACGGUACCUAAUCAGAAAGCCACGGCUAACUACGUGCCAGCAGCCGCGGUAAUACGUAGGUGGCAAGCGUUAUCCGGAAUUAUUGGGCGUAAAGCGCGCGUAGGCGGUUUUUUAAGUCUGAUGUGAAAGCCCACGGCUCAACCGUGGAGGGUCAUUGGAAACUGGAAAACUUGAGUGCAGAAGAGGAAAGUGGAAUUCCAUGUGUAGCGGUGAAAUGCGCAGAGAUAUGGAGGAACACCAGUGGCGAAGGCGACUUUCUGGUCUGUAACUGACGCUGAUGUGCGAAAGCGUGGGGAUCAAACAGGAUUAGAUACCCUGGUAGUCCACGCCGUAAACGAUGAGUGCUAAGUGUUAGGGGGUUUCCGCCCCUUAGUGCUGCAGCUAACGCAUUAAGCACUCCGCCUGGGGAGUACGACCGCAAGGUUGAAACUCAAAGGAAUUGACGGGGACCCGCACAAGCGGUGGAGCAUGUGGUUUAAUUCGAAGCAACGCGAAGAACCUUACCAAAUCUUGACAUCCUUUGACAACUCUAGAGAUAGAGCCUUCCCCUUCGGGGGACAAAGUGACAGGUGGUGCAUGGUUGUCGUCAGCUCGUGUCGUGAGAUGUUGGGUUAAGUCCCGCAACGAGCGCAACCCUUAAGCUUAGUUGCCAUCAUUAAGUUGGGCACUCUAAGUUGACUGCCGGUGACAAACCGGAGGAAGGUGGGGAUGACGUCAAAUCAUCGUGCCCCUUAUGAUUUGGGCUACACACGUGCUACAAUGGACAAUACAAAGGGCAGCGAAACCGCGAGGUCAAGCAAAUCCCAUAAAGUUGUUCUCAGUUCGGAUUGUAGUCUGCAACUCGACUACAUGAAGCUGGAAUCGCUAGUAAUCGUAGAUCAGCAUGCUACGGUGAAUACGUUCCCGGGUCU